AUGUGGGCUGGGCAGGAGGUGAGAGGAACCUUGGAAUUCCACCCAGCAAUUACAAAUAACCAACCAAAACCUUUCGAUAAUGCUUCAACUUGAGGGAUAGGAAGAUACAGCUAUGCAGAGAUCUGGGAUGAUGCUUGAAUCAAGCAGUGAGCCAAAAGGAGCCAUCCAAAGCUAAAGCCAACACUGGUCACCUUGUGGAAUGGGGCUUGAUGAAGUGAGCAGAAGUGAGGAGAGAUCUGGAAGGGUGAAAAGAAGUGAAAUGAAACUCACACGUAAAAGAAAAUGAACAUUUAAAAGAAA
RNAcentral lists this long non-coding RNA (300 nucleotides) under Homo sapiens (human). RNAcentral's name for it is "long non-coding RNA NONHSAT257321". Lineage: Eukaryota; Metazoa; Chordata; Mammalia; Primates; Hominidae. The record is from RNAcentral.